RNAcentral lists this ribosomal RNA (552 nucleotides) under Triticum aestivum (bread wheat). RNAcentral describes it as "partial small subunit ribosomal RNA". Lineage: Eukaryota; Viridiplantae; Streptophyta; Magnoliopsida; Poales; Poaceae. The record is from RNAcentral.
AUGCUUCCUCGGAAUAUCGGUGUUGAUGUCGAGUAUACCAGGGAAGACAAACCUCCGCAAAUUGCUGCAGUUCUGCAGUUAUGCGUGGAGGAUCUCGUCCUGGUAUACCACAUCACCGCGGCAACCAAAUGGCCCAAGGAACUCCGCCCGCUCCUGCAGGAGAAGAAGCUGUACACCUUUGUUGGCUUCUCCAUUGGAGGCGACAAGGAGAAGCUGAAGUUGUCUGGUUUAGAGAUCAACCCCGACAAGUACGUCGACUUGCAGCGCAAAUGGAGAGUUCCAAACAAUGGAAAGAAGUGGCAGUCUUUGGCUGAGUUUGCAGGCAGCCUCAUCCACCCAUCCUACAAGGAAAUGAAGCAGAAGAUUGACAGGAAAUCGGACCACCUACUAUGGGGGGGCAGCCCACUGCCAAACAAGCUCAUCGAGUACGCCGCAAAAGAUGCGUACGUCACCUACGAGGCAUGGAAGAAAAUCGAAAUCACCAAAGAAGGUUUGGAGCUCUGGCAAGAGGUGGAGGAUCAUUGGGAUGACCCCUACUACUGGGGAUAUUGA